Molecule: non-coding RNA, 108 nt
Organism: Acanthosepion pharaonis
Lineage: Eukaryota; Metazoa; Mollusca; Cephalopoda; Sepiida; Sepiidae
Source: the annotation of a GenBank genome assembly
CCGUAUCACGUUAGAACACAGGUUCUCUUCUGAUCACCGAAGUUAAGCAAUGUUGAAUCUGGUCAGUACCUAGCUAGGAGACCGCUGCGGAAUACCAGGUGCCGUAAG